This 1370-nucleotide ribosomal RNA is filed under the name uncultured bacterium. RNAcentral describes it as "16S ribosomal RNA". It matches the Rfam family "Bacterial small subunit ribosomal RNA". The record is from RNAcentral.
CUGGCUCAGGAUGAACGCUGGCGGCGUGCCUAAUACAUGCAAGUCGAACGCAUUACUUCGGUAGUGAGUGGCGAACGGGUGAGUAACACGUAGGUAACUUACCUCUAAGACGAGGAUAACGACUGGAAACGGUCGCUAAAACUGGAUAGGAUCAUUUGAGGCAUCUCGAAUGAUUUAAAGGGGCUUUCAAGCCACACUUAGAGAAAGGCCUGCGGCGCAUUAGCUAGUUGGUGGGGUAGAGGCCUACCAAGGCGAUGAUGCGUAGCCGGACUGAGGGGUCGAACGGCCACAUUGGGACUGAGACACGGCCCAAACUCCUACGGGAGGCAGCAGUAGGGAAUUUUCGGCAAUGGGGGAAACCCUGACCGAGCAACGCCGCGUGAAUGAAGACGUAUUUCGGUAUGUAAAGUUCUUUUAUUAAGGAAGAAUGUCACGGAUAGGAAAUGAUCUGUGAGUGACGGUACUUAAUGAAUAAGCCCCGGCUAACUAUGUGCCAGCAGCCGCGGUAAUACAUAGGGGGCAAGCGUUAUCCGGAAUUAUUGGGCGUAAAGGGUGCGUAGGCGGUCUAUUAAGUUUAAGGUAUAAGUGCAAGGCUCAACCUUGUGAGGCUUUAGAAACUGGUAGGCUAGAGAUAGAUAGAGGCAAGUGGAAUUCCAUGUGUAGCGGUAAAAUGCGUAAAUAUAUGGAGGAACACCAGUGGCGAAGGCGGCUUGCUGGGUCUAUACUGACGCUGAGGCACGAAAGCGUGGGGAGCAAACAGGAUUAGAUACCCUGGUAGUCCACGCCGUAAACGAUGAGUAUAAGUGUGGGGGGAACCCAGUGCUGUAGUUAACAUAUUAAGACUUCCGCCUGAGUAGUACGUACGCAAGUGUGAAACUCAAAGGAAUUGACGGGACCCCGCACAAGCGGUGGAUCAUGUUGUUUGAUUCGAAGAUACACGAAAAACCUUACCAGGUCUUGACAUACUCUGCAAAGCUAUAGAGAUAUAGUGGAGGUUAACAGAUGUACAGGUGGUGCAUGGUUGUCGUCAGCUCGUAUCGUGAGAUGUUGGGUUAAGUCCCGCAACGAGCGCAACCCUUAUUGCUAGUUACCAUCAUUAAGUUGGGGACUCUAGCGAGACUGCCAGUGAUAAACUGGAGGAAGGUGGGGAUGACGUCAAAUCAUCAUGCCCCUUAUGACCUGGGCUACAAACGUGAUACAAUGGCUGGAACAGAGAGAGGCGAAGCAGUGAUGUGGAGCCAAACUCAUAAAAACAGUCUCAGUUCGAAUUGGAGUCUGCAACUCGACUCCAUGAAGUCGGAAUCGCUAGUAAUCGCGAAUCAGCAUGUCGCGGUGAAUAAAAGCUCGGGGUUUGCACUCACCGCCCGUCA